CAUUCUGAGCAGCUGUCACCCUGCGAUUGGCUUGCUCGGGGACAGCCCUGUGUGAGCUGCUAGUAUGGGCUCUGGCAGUCGCUGCUGUGCCUCUCCCCUGGUUCAUAACCUGCUCCAGGCUCAGACUCAGCAACAGAACCUAGUCCCUGGGUCCCUGGUUUACACCUAGAAUAUGAGACAGAUGACAAGAGUGACUGUGCUCCUGAUCUUGGGUACUUUGAGCCUCGCUAAGACCAUCCAGCCCGUCUUCAUUGACUCAUAUGAAGGACAAGAAGUGAAUAUACCUUGUAACCACACCAACAUUGCUACAAAUGAAUAUAUCUUCUGGUACCGACAGUUCCCCAACCAAGGACCACAGUUUGUCAUUCAAGGGUAUAAGACAAAUGCAGCAAAUGAGGUGGCAUCUCUGUUCAUCCCUACCGACAGGAAGUCCAGCACCCUGAGCCUGCCCUGGGCUACCCUGAGAGACACCGCUGUGUACUACUGCAUCGUGAGUGACACACAGUGAGACAGAGGGGGCUGCACCUGUGCAACAUCCCCCUUGGGGUGAGUCACAGCCCAGGGGACCCCCAAAGUAGCACUCUUACAACGUUUACUUAUUAUUUUCAGAAGGUAUUAGCAA
Non-coding RNA from Vicugna pacos (alpaca), 622 nucleotides. NCBI's taxonomy places the organism in Eukaryota, Metazoa, Chordata, Mammalia, Artiodactyla, Camelidae. The record is from the annotation of a RefSeq genome assembly.